UACCAGCACCCCGAGUGGUCGGGGCGAUUAUUGGGCCUAAAGCGUCCGUAGCCGGUUCUACAAGUCUUCCGUUAAAUCCCCCUGCUUAACAGAUGGGCUGCGGAGGAUACUAUAGAGCUAGGAGGCGGGAGAGGCAAGCGGUACUUAGUGGGUAGGGGUAAAAUCCGUUGAUCCAUUGAAGACCACCAGUGGCGAAGGCGGCUUGCCAGAACGCACUCGACGGUGAGGGAUGAAAGCUGGGGGAGCAAACCGG
This 253-nucleotide ribosomal RNA is filed under the name uncultured bacterium. RNAcentral's name for it is "partial 16S ribosomal RNA". It matches the Rfam family "Archaeal small subunit ribosomal RNA", at positions 474 to 727 of the family's 1478-position model. The record is from RNAcentral.